RNAcentral lists this long non-coding RNA (322 nucleotides) under Mytilus galloprovincialis (Mediterranean mussel). The record is from RNAcentral. Lineage: Eukaryota; Metazoa; Mollusca; Bivalvia; Mytilida; Mytilidae.
GGCCUAGGUUAUUUUUAGACGCACCGUAAAGUCCCAGUCACACCAUUGCAACAACGUCCUGUUUUGAUAAAUUUGUUAAAAUGCUGGGACCAUGAUACUAAUAGUAUAAUAUUUCCCUUUUAAAUAGUAAUUGUUAUGAAUGAUAAUAUUUUAUAUGUAUGCUGUCUUAGUUUUUAAAUAGUUAUUUGGUUAAUAUGGUGUCUCGUAAGUCAUUUUUGGACAGGAUAUUUUUGUUUUAUAGUGUAUGUAUAUUCUGCACGAAUAAUUUUUAUCGCUAUCAUUAUAAAAAACUAGACCUAUGUGAACCGUAUGAGAUCGCACA